Molecule: ribosomal RNA, 253 nt
Filed under: uncultured bacterium
Lineage: Bacteria
Description: partial 16S ribosomal RNA
Rfam family: Bacterial small subunit ribosomal RNA
Source: RNAcentral
CACGGGGGGAGCAAGCGUUGUUCGGAAUCACUGGGCGUAAAGGGCGUGUAGGCGGUCAGGUAAGUGAGAUGUGAAAUGCCCCGGCUCACCCGGGGACCGGCAUCUCAUACUGCUUGGCUUGAGUACGGGAGAGGAUGUGGGAAUUCCUGGUGUAGCGGUGAAAUGCGUAGAUAUCAGGAGGAACACCGGUGGCGAAGGCGGCGAUCUGGGUAGAUACUGACGCUGAGGUGCGAAAGCGUGGGGAGCAAACAGG